This is a long non-coding RNA of Galeopterus variegatus (Sunda flying lemur), 499 nucleotides long. RefSeq lists it as uncharacterized. The record is from RefSeq and is a predicted model, not a curated record. NCBI's taxonomy places the organism in Eukaryota, Metazoa, Chordata, Mammalia, Dermoptera, Cynocephalidae. The transcript has 2 exons.
UGGAGUAAGAACUAUCCCAAGUAACCAGAUGACUUCUUUACUGGCACAGCAGUGGGGGCUCCCCACAGUGCCUGGCUGGACCGCUGACUGCUGUGGAUGGUAUCUGUUUCAUCACUGAGAUGCAGCUCUUGCUUAAUUGUAAUUACAACAAAAUAGGAACAAGAACAGUAUGGUGAAAUGAUAUGGAAACACCUGAUAGGCCAACAAAGGAAGUCGCAGAGGAAGGCUCCUGAGUGAUAAAUGAGGAAGGUCGUUCAAGUGUGUACAGUAACUGUUUUCCUAACACCCACCUAGCAAGUGAAUUAUGGAUUACCUGCUAGGUGAAUGGUGUGUGUGCAGAUGCAAGGCCAGAGCUACAGUCGCCAGGAUGCAAGACAAAUAUCCUGCAUCUCAUCUUUCAGUUUAAUCACAAAUGGGAGUCACAAAGAAGGAAGGCCCACCGGGGUGGCUCUCUACAAAAAGUGGAGUUAAAAUCAAGGUUCUGAAGUUUGAGCUAAAA